RNAcentral lists this long non-coding RNA (802 nucleotides) under Meriones unguiculatus (Mongolian gerbil). RNAcentral describes it as "lncRNA (ENSMUGG00000012944.1)". The record is from RNAcentral. Lineage: Eukaryota; Metazoa; Chordata; Mammalia; Rodentia; Muridae.
CGCAGGGAUGGGGUGGGGUGACGGUGGGGGGUUGUGGAUGGGGUCUGAGCCCACACAGACCUAAGGAACCUGAAGGGUUCCUCACCUUUCAUUCCCCGCACUCUUGGAAGGAGAAUCCGCCUUCAGGGAGUGCAAGGAAUUCCUGCCAAAGGCUUCCGAAUUCUUUCCUGCUCUGCCCGAAGCCCAUUUGUCUUCCACCCUGCAUGCAGAGGCAGCGGGUCUCCAUUUCCAUCAGGCUGGGAUGAAGGCCCCUCUUCUCUCUGAACACACCAGACUGUGGUGCUGCAGCGGACCUUGGGGACCUCAGGGGCAGAACUGAGACGGAGCAGUGGAAUGACGGGCAAAAUAACAGAGAGGCUCCAUUUGAGGAGAGCACAAAGAUCUCUGGCCAGCAAGAUAAGACAAGGUGUGAGCCCUGUAAGUAACAUAUGGCAGAAAUCUAGGCUAAGCCGUGAAAGUCCUGUGGUUAAGGAUAAAUUUGUAGCAGUGGUGUUGCUUGAGUUGGACACAGACUAGAAAUCCUUCAAAAGACAAGCGAGACCUGCUUACUAAUAAGUAAGUAUAGUAGCCAAGAUAUGGAGUCACUGGAGACUCCAGUGAUGGGUAAAAACAAUGUGGUAGUCCACAAGAUGGAGUAUUAUUCAGCUGUGAAAGGUUAGAAUCCUGGCACUUGAAGCAACAUAAAUGGAGUAAAAAGAGCCAAGCACAGAAAGACAAAUAUUUCAUGUUCUUAUGUGUUUUUGGAAUAUUUUUAGCUUCCAUCUUUCUUUUUACUUUUAAUUUUGAGACAGGGACUCUCUAA